UGGACCCGUGAUCCGGGUUGCGGACAGUGUCUGGUGGGUAGUUUGACUGGGGCGGUCUCCUCCUAAAGAGUAACGGAGGAGCACGAAGGUUGGCUAAUCCUGGUCGGACAUCAGGAGGUUAGUGCAAUGGCAUAAGCCAGCUUGACUGCGAGCGUGACGGCGCGAGCAGGUGCGAAAGCAGGUCAUAGUGAUCCGGUGGUUCUGAAUGGAAGGGCCAUCGCUCAACGGAUAAAAGGUACUCCGGGGAUAACAGGCUGAUACCGCCCAAGAGUUCAUAUCGACGGCGGUGUUUGGCACCUCGAUGUCGGCUCAUCACAUCCUGGGGCUGAAGUAGGUCCCAAGGGUAUGGCUGUUCGCCAUUUAAAGUGGUACGCGAGCUGGGUUUAGAACGUCGUGAGACAGUUCGGUCCCUAUCUGCCGUGGGCGCUGGAGAACUGAGGGGGGCUGCUCCUAGUACGAGAGGACCGGAGUGGACGCAUCACUGGUGUUCGGG
This 493-nucleotide ribosomal RNA is filed under the name Salmonella enterica. RNAcentral describes it as "partial 23S ribosomal RNA". It matches the Rfam family "Bacterial large subunit ribosomal RNA", at positions 2228 to 2720 of the family's 2925-position model. Lineage: Bacteria; Pseudomonadati; Pseudomonadota; Gammaproteobacteria; Enterobacterales; Enterobacteriaceae. The record is from RNAcentral.